This 251-nucleotide ribosomal RNA is filed under the name uncultured prokaryote. Its description in RNAcentral is "partial 16S rRNA". It matches the Rfam family "Bacterial small subunit ribosomal RNA", at positions 525 to 775 of the family's 1533-position model. The record is from RNAcentral.
ACGUAGGAUCCAAGCGUUAUCCGGAUUUACUGGGUUUAAAGGGAGCGUAGGCGGGAAUGCAAGUCAGAUGUGAAAGCUGAUGGCUCAACCCUGGAACUGCAGUUGAAACUGUAUGUCUUGAGUGUAGAAGAGGAAAGUGGAAUUCAUAGUGUAGCGGUGAAAUGAGUAGAUAUUAGGAGGACCGCCAGUGGCGAAGGGACGUUAACAGACAUUACAUCAUGAUGAGGCGCGACGCCGUGGGGACCAAACAG